Molecule: ribosomal RNA, 371 nt
Filed under: uncultured Geobacter sp.
Lineage: Bacteria; Pseudomonadati; Thermodesulfobacteriota; Desulfuromonadia; Geobacterales; Geobacteraceae
Description: bacterial SSU rRNA
Rfam family: Bacterial small subunit ribosomal RNA
Source: RNAcentral
GGGGGGUGCGAGCGUUGUUCGGAAUUAUUGGGCGUAAAGCGCGUGUAGGCGGUUUGUUAAGUCUGAUGUGAAAGCCCCGGGCUCAACCUGGGAAGUGCAUUGGAUACUGGCAGACUUGAAUACGGGAGAGGGUAGUGGAAUUCCUGGUGUAGGAGUGAAAUCCGUAGAUAUCAGGAGGAACACCGGUGGCGAAGGCGGCUACCUGGACCGAUAUUGACGCUGAGACGCGAAAGCGUGGGGAGCAAACAGGAUUAGAUACCCUGGUAGUCCACGCCGUAAACGAUGAGUACUAGGUGUUGCGGGUAUUGACCCCUGCAGUGCCGCAGCUAACGCAUUAAGUACUCCGCCUGGGAAGUACGGUCGCAAGACUA